RNAcentral lists this transfer RNA (80 nucleotides) under Candidatus Saccharimonadota bacterium. RNAcentral's name for it is "tRNA-Asp". It matches the Rfam family "tRNA". Rfam says of the family: Transfer RNA (tRNA) molecules are approximately 80 nucleotides in length. Their secondary structure includes four short double-helical elements and three loops (D, anti-codon, and T loops). The record is from RNAcentral. Lineage: Bacteria; Candidatus Saccharimonadota.
GCGCUCGUAGUGAAGCUGGUCUAUCACGCCUCCCUGUCACGGAGGUUAGAUCGCCGGUUCGAAUCCGGUCGGGCGCGCCA